This 492-nucleotide ribosomal RNA is filed under the name uncultured bacterium. RNAcentral describes it as "partial 16S ribosomal RNA". It matches the Rfam family "Bacterial small subunit ribosomal RNA", at positions 29 to 507 of the family's 1533-position model. The record is from RNAcentral.
AGUGAACGCUGGCGGUAUGCCUAACACAUGCAAGUCGAACGGCAGCACAGUAAGAGCUUGCUCUUACGGGUGGCGAGUGGCGGACUGGUGCGGAAUACAUCGGAAUCUACUUUUUCGUGGGGGAUAACGUAGGGAAACUUACGCUACUACCGCAUACGACCUACGGGUGAAAGCAGGGGAUCUUCGGACCUUGCGCGAUUGAAUGAGCCGAUGUCGGAUUAGCUAGUUGGCGGGGUAAAGGCCCACCAAGGCGACGAUCCGUAGCUGGUCUGAGAGGAUGAUCAGCCACACUGGAACUGAGACACGGCCCAGACUCCUACGGGAGGCAGCAGUGGGGAAUAUUGGACAAUGGGCGCAAGCCUGAUCCAGCAAUACCGCGUGGGUGAAGAAGGCCUUCGGGUUGUAAAGCCCUUUUGUUGGGAAAGAAAAGCAGCAGGUUAAUACCCCGCUGUUCUGACGGUACCCAAAGAAUAAGCACCGGCUAACUUCGUG